RNAcentral lists this ribosomal RNA (253 nucleotides) under uncultured bacterium. RNAcentral describes it as "partial 16S ribosomal RNA". It matches the Rfam family "Bacterial small subunit ribosomal RNA", at positions 524 to 776 of the family's 1533-position model. The record is from RNAcentral.
UACGGGGGGGGCAAGCGUUGUUCGGAAUUACUGGGCGUAAAGGGCUCGUAGGCGGCCAACUAAGUCGGAUGUGAAAUCCCCAGGCUCAACUUGGGAACUGCAUCCGAUACUGGAUGGCUUGAAUUCGGGAGAGGGAUGCAGAAUUCCAGGUGUAGCGGUGAAAUGCGUAGAUAUCUGGAGGAAUACCGGUGGCGAAGGCGGCAUCCUGGACCGGCAUUGACGCUGAAGCGCGAAAGCUAGGGGAGCAAACGGG